This is a small nucleolar RNA of Tripterygium wilfordii, 81 nucleotides long. The record is from RefSeq and is a predicted model, not a curated record. NCBI's taxonomy places the organism in Eukaryota, Viridiplantae, Streptophyta, Magnoliopsida, Celastrales, Celastraceae.
CGCUAUGGUGAAAAAUAGGAGAGGCUGCACCAGACUGUCCAGAAAAAGAUGUGGCAAAAGAUCGUCCAGUACUGUCCGGAA